AAAAAGACAAACCCUGGGUUUCCGUGUCUAACUUUGACUGUCCGUCUUAUAUGAAUUUUUUUUAUAAUUCGUAUUUUUAUUAUUGUUAGAUGAUAAAACAUGAUUAAUACUUUGUGUGUGACUUGUCUUUUUUAUUUUUUUCAUAAUUUUUUCAAAUAAGAUGGUAGGUCAAACGUUAGGCACGAAAAUCAAGGUUUGUCUUUUU
Molecule: microRNA precursor, 205 nt
Organism: Oryza sativa Indica Group (long-grained rice)
Lineage: Eukaryota; Viridiplantae; Streptophyta; Magnoliopsida; Poales; Poaceae
Rfam family: MIR812 microRNA precursor family
Source: Rfam